CCCAGCACGGCAGCUCCCUGCCAGGCUUGCUUCUGGAACAGCCGCAGGUAAAAGCGAAUCUCGUGCAGCUCCUUAAUCAAACGUCUUAGUGCCUCAAGAGCUGGAAAGGAUUCGGGGAAUGCGGCUGGGCUGUUUGCAAACUUCUCCAGGCUCCAGCUCUCCUUUCUGCAAGACCAAAGGGAACCCGAGCCGGGAGCCCUGCAGACGUGAGCUUCACCCCGAUACGGGGCUGGGACCAGGCACAGGAGCCAGAGCCGGGGGCCACAUUCAGGAUAUUUAGGCUGGGUCCUGGCUGGAGCAAGGAUCUGUAGCAAAGCCCAGAUGUGGAAGUGGGAGCCGCCUCCCUGCUGAGCUCUGUGGGAUGCAGCAGCCCGUGGUUAGGGCUGGGCCCUCUGUAGCUGACCUCGGGUGGUGUUCCAGCAUCCGAAAGAACUUCAGCGGCUUCGAGGGUGAUGCCUCCCUUGGAAACAGCAACCUGAAAUUACAGCAAGGCCACAGACGCAUCCGCUGGGGAGUACAGGGCAGGCUGGCGGCGGGAUAUCCAGCUCCCAGCUGGGGAAGGGAUGCGAGGAAGAGCCGGGAGCUAUUUCAGCUCCCCGUGCCACCCCCUUCCUCGUGCCGCUCCAGCUCGGGUGCUAACGAAUGCUUCACG
Long non-coding RNA from Oxyura jamaicensis (ruddy duck), 652 nucleotides. RefSeq lists it as uncharacterized. Lineage: Eukaryota; Metazoa; Chordata; Aves; Anseriformes; Anatidae. The record is from RefSeq and is a predicted model, not a curated record. The transcript has 2 exons.